This 279-nucleotide ribosomal RNA is filed under the name uncultured bacterium. RNAcentral describes it as "partial 16S ribosomal RNA". It matches the Rfam family "Bacterial small subunit ribosomal RNA", at positions 506 to 784 of the family's 1533-position model. The record is from RNAcentral.
UGCCAGCAGCCGCGGUAAUACGGAGGGUGCAAGCGUUAAUCGGAAUUACUGGGCGUAAAGCGCGCGUAGGCGGUUUUGUAAGUCGGAUGUGAAAGCCCUGGGCUUAACCUGGGAAUGGCAUUCGAUACUGCAUAACUAGAGUAUGGUAGAGGGAAGUGGAAUUUCCGGUGUAGCGGUGAAAUGCGUAGAUAUCAGAAGGAACACCAAUGGCGAAGGCAGCUUUCUGGACCAAUACUGACGCUGAGGUACGAAAGCGUGGGUAGCAAACAGGAUUAGAUA